This is an RNA transcript of Notolabrus celidotus (New Zealand spotty), 8635 nucleotides long. It is a transcript of the gene named PTPRF interacting protein alpha 3, with no coding region annotated. NCBI's taxonomy places the organism in Eukaryota, Metazoa, Chordata, Actinopteri, Labriformes, Labridae. The transcript is spliced from 31 exons. The record is from RefSeq and is a predicted model, not a curated record.
CCUUGCCUCAGAGGCUCAGGCUCGUCGUCGCUCCCUCAGCAGAGAGAGGGAGGGGAUGGGGGCAGGCUGGUAACCGGGCUGUAACGGGGAUAAACUGCAGCCUCCGGAUCUCAGACUCUCUGAUGGAGUGAACCGGGCACCGAGGCGCGUUUCCGUCCGUCCUCUGUCCAUCAUGGAGCGGGUUCGUCUCACAUCACAGUGAAGACUGGGCCGGGGGUCAGAGGUCGUUCACCAAACCUGCACUUCUCCCCUCUCACCCCUGCACCCCACCCCACCCCUCCACUGAACUUAUCUUACAUCCUCCCCCCCCCCCACUUCUCUCUUCACUCACACAUCCUCAGAGCCCCGCCUCCAGCACCUACUGUACUUCCUGCCUGUCUCCCUCACCCAAUCAGCUUCAAAGGAACCAACGCUGUCACUCUGUCUUGAAGCUGCACUCAGGUGUCCUUUUUCAGCUUCUCAGAUAGCACCUCUCACACCCAGGCCUCAAGAUGAUGUGCGAGGUGAUGCCCACCAUCUCAGAGGAUGGGCGUGGUGGAGGAAGCGGCGGGUCAUCGUCUCCUGCUGGUGGCGGCGGAGGGAUAGGAGGAGGGAUUGGAGGCAUAGGGGGCUACGGAGGACGGGAUACCCGCAGCGGGAGUGGUAGUGGUGGUAGUGGUGGAAGUGGAGGUGGCAGUGAUGAGGGUGGCAGCACGGGCAACCUGGAGUCCCUGAUGGUGAACAUGCUGACGGAGAGGGAGAGGUUGCUGGAGAGCCUGAGGGAGACCCAAGACUGCCUGGGGACGGCCCACCUACGCCUGAGGGAGCUGGGCCAUGAGAAGGAGUCGCUCCAGAGGCAGCUGUCCAUCGCUCUGCCACAGGAGUUUGCAGUGUUGACCAAAGAGCUGAACCUCUGCCGGGAGCAGCUGCUGGAGAGAGAGGAGGAGAUCGCGGAGCUGAAGGCGGAGAGGAACAACACACGACUGCUGCUAGAACAUCUGGAGUGCCUGGUGUCCCGUCACGAGCGCAGCCUGAGGAUGACCGUGGUGAAGAGGCAGGCGCAGUCCCCUGCCGGGGUCUCCAGCGAGGUGGAGGUCCUGAAGGCCUUGAAGUCCUUGUUUGAGCACCACAAAGCUCUGGAUGAGAAGGUGAGGGAGAGGCUACGGGUGGCUCUGGAGCGGGUGGCGUCCCUGGAGGAAGAGUUGCAGACCUCCUCUCAAGAAGUUGUGUCUCUAAAAGAUCAAAUCAAGCGACGGCAGCAAGGACUCGACAACGGGAAAGAUCGUCUGCCUAAUGGACCGUCUUCUAUUCUGGACGACGCCGACGGCGACAGGCAGCGAGAGAGCGAGAUCGAGCGUCAGAGGUCCGAGCUGGGCCAGCUGAAAGAGAGACUGGCCCUCAUGUGCAGACAGGUCGGAGAGAUCGAGGAGCAGCUGACGUCCGCCAGGAGGGAGCUGGCCCGAUCAGAAGAGGCCAACCAGAAACUCCAGAGGGAUGUGAAAGAGGCUCUCUGUCAAAGGGAAGACAUGGAAGAGAGGAUCACCACAUUAGAGCGAAGGUACCUGAGCGCCCAGAGGGAGGCGACGUCUCUCCAUGACAUAAAAGACAAAAUAGAGAACGAGCUGGCCAGCAAAGAAUCCCUCUACAGACAGAGCGAGGAGAAGAACCGGCAGCUACAGGAGCGUCUGGAUGAUGCCAAGCAGAAGCUGCAGCAGACCCUGCAGAGGGCCGAGACCCUGCCGGAGAUCGAGGCCCAGCUCGCGCAGAGAGUGGCGGCGCUCAACAAGGCGGAGGAGCGUCAUGGUAACUUUGAGGAGCGUCUGCGACAGAUGGAGGCGCAACUGGAGGAGAAGAACCAGGAGCUACAGAGGGCGAGACAGAGGGAGAGGAUGAAUGAUGAACACAACAAGCGUCUCUCUGACACGGUGGACAAGCUUCUGUCAGAGUCCAACGAGAGGCUGCAGCUCCAUCUGAAGGAGAGAAUGGCCGCCCUGGAGGAAAAGAACGCUCUGUCUGAGGAACUCUCCAACAUGAAGAAACUCCAGGAUGAUCUCUUGGCAAACAAGGACCAGCUCAUAGUGGAGCUGGAGAGGAUUCAGCUGGAGUUAGAUCAGCUGAGAGCGAGGCCCGGGGGCUCGUACUCCAGCCGCUCUCUGCCAGGAAGCGCUCUGGAGUUGAGGUAUUCCCAUGGAGGCGGGUCCCUCCCAUUAGGCUCCACCACUCACCUGGACCCCUUUGGUAAUGCCUCCACUGGGGGCGUGGUCAGGCGGAGUCACAGGGCCCGUUGGAGCUCCGCCCGGGAGGACUCCACCAAGUACCCAGACUGGGAUAGCGGGGCUCUGCUUGGGACCGGGUUCGAGCCAGGCUUGGAGGUGGGCUGCUCCGACGAAGAUGACGACGUGGAGCCUCGGUUCGGCUCCGAGCUGCUGUCGCCCAGUGGACAGACGGACGUGCAGACACUGGCUAUCAUGCUGCAGGAACAGCUGGAGGCCAUCAAUAAGGAGAUCAAACUGAUCCAGGAGGAGAAGGAGAACACAGAGCUACGAGCUGAGGAGAUCGAGAGCCGGGUCAGCGUGGCUUUAGACCCUCCGUCCACCCUGGGGAGAGACAGCACAGGCCGGGGGUUCAUCCCCUCGUCCAUCACAUCCUCCACCCUUGCCUCCCCCUCACCCCCGAGCUCCGGCCACUCCACCCCUCGCCUGCCGCACUCCCCGGCCCGCGAGAAUGACAGACAGAACAGCAAAGAUGACGAUCGGUCCCUCGCCCUCCUCGACUCCACGCCUCCACCCACUCCUCGUGCUCUGCGCUUGGACAGGAUGGCCCUCACCCACCCAGGAGCGAUGCUGGACGACCCCCGAGAGUUUCGCAGUCUCUCAGCAGAUGGGAGCAGCUCCAACAGCAGCCAAGAUUCCCUCCACAAGUCCAGUAAGAAGAAGAGCAUCAAGUCUUCCAUCGGGCGGCUUUUUGGAAAGAAGGAGAAGGGGAGGAUGGGUCAACCGGGGCGGGAUGGAUCCUCUUCUCUUGCAUCCACACCCUCUGAGGACAUGGCCUCUGGUGACCCCAUGGGGAUGAACAAGACCGGGACUCUGGGUCCAGCAGAUAAAGACCGCCGCAGCAAGAAGAAGCAUGAGCUGCUGGAGGAAGCAUGUCGCCAAGGACUUCCCUUUGCAUCCUGGGACGGACCCACUGUUGUGUCUUGGUUGGAGCUGUGGGUGGGAAUGCCGGCCUGGUACGUUGCAGCCUGCCGUGCUAACGUGAAGAGCGGCGCCAUCAUGGCUAACCUGUCAGACACAGAGAUCCAGAGGGAGAUCGGCAUCAGUAACCCGCUCCACCGCCUCAAACUGCGGCUGGCCAUCCAGGAGAUGGUGUCCCUCACCAGCCCCUCGGCUCCCGCCAGCACUCGCUCUUCGACCAGUAACGUGUGGAUGACCCACGCAGAGAUGGAGUCCCUGAACGCCGCCACCAAGCCUCCGGCCGUAGUGUUGAGCGUCUUCUUCUCUCCCUCUGGUUUCUGUUUCUGUGUGAACUGCUUCCAACUAAUUACCCGUUCACUAACACACUAUUCCUCCCUUUUGUCCUCUUUUCCUGCUGCUGCUGCUGCCGCUGCUACCUCCUCCUCUUCCUCCUCCUCCUCUGCUUCUACUCCAUCAUCUCUCCAUCUGUCCACCCUGCUCUCGACCCCUGCUCCACUUCUUCCCUCUCCACCUCCUUGUCUCUCUCUCUCUCUCCUCUCUCUCUCUCUCUCUCUCUCUCUCCCCCCCCGCUCUCCCUCACUCUCUCUCUCUCUCUCUCUCUCUCUAUGAGUCUGUCUCUCUCUCUCUCUGUCUGCCUCCUGUCCUCUGCCGGCGCUGUAGGAGUUGAAGGAGUUCAGCUGGGAUCAGAUACUGGCCUACGGCGAUAUGAAUCAUGAGUGGGUGGGAAACGACUGGCUGCCCAGCCUGGGUCUGCCUCAGUAUCGCAGCUACUUCAUGGAGUCCCUGGUGGAUGCUCGCAUGCUGGACCACCUGACGAAGAAGGAGCUGAGAGGACAGCUCAAAAUGGUGGACAGCUUCCACAGGGUCAGUUUGCAUUACGGCAUCAUGUGCCUGAAGCGUCUCAACUACGACCGCAAGGAGCUGGAGAGGAGGCGAGAGGACAGCGCCCACCAGAACAAAGAUGUGAUGGUGUGGUCCAACGAGCGUGUGAUGUGCUGGGUGCAGACUCUCGGCCUGAAGGAGUACGCCGACAACCUGCGUGAGAGCGGCGUCCAUGGGUCUCUGCUGGCUCUGGACGACACCUUCGACUUCACCGACCUGGCUCUGCUGCUGCAGAUCCCCAAUCAGAACACACAGGCCCGGCAGCUCCUGGAGCAAGAGUACAACUCGCUCAUCUCCAUGGGAACCGAGAGACGACCUGAUGAGGAUGGAGCAAAGACGUUCACACGCUCGCCCUCCUGGAGGAAGAUGUUUAGGGAGAAAGACCUCCGGGGCGUGACCUCUGACUCCGCCGAGACCCUGCCUGCUAACUUCCGUGCCUCAGCCAUCGCCACGCCCUCCGUUACCCUGAGAAAGGUUCAGAGUGAUGCCAACUCUGGUGCCCGGGGUGAAUCUGCCUCAGUGAGGACGUACUCCUGUUGAAGGGCUGAGGGCGCUGGACCGGAUUGGGACUAGAGGACCCUCUCGCUCAUCCACAGAGAAAGAAGCAAUGAAAAUAUAACCAUAUAACUACAAAUAGAUCUAUCGGCCUGACCAUUCUGCAAUAACAGAGGGGAAGAGGAGAAGUAACAAGGGGAAGGGACAUGAAGAAUGUAUGAAUGUAUUUUUCCGAAAUGAAUAGAAGAGUUGGAAAGGAUCAGCUGUUUUCUCUCCCUCUCUCUCUCUCUCUCUGUCGCUCGCUCAGUGUGGCUGUGCUGUGGGGUUAAUAGAGGACAUCGUUGGUAUUGGUUAGGUUUUAGCCAGUCGCGCCGGUUUCCUCUCUCUUCAUUCCUGUCUGCACACAGUCAGCACAGUCGGUAAUAUCAGGGCUCAUUUUCCUACCUUGAGGAAACCACUCGCUGCCAUUUACUCUCCCGCAAAACAACUCGACGUGCCGCCUUAGAACUUCUGCUCCACAACAGGUGUUAGUAAUGAGAGAGAAGUUAACCUCAGCGUAAAUGUUAGGUUUUAAACACGAGAGGAAUGGCUGGAAGAGAGGGGGAGAAAUGGCCGCUUAUAACUCUAACCGACAGAGGCGUUCUCCUCUACUUACAGCUGGUGUCCAGUGUCGGCCAUUGUGGUUCUAUUGUUUCCUUUAUGGGCCUGUCAGGAGCGUCCGAGUGUCCUCAAUGGGGCGGACGAAGGGGUGGAGUUGAACACGUUUGGAUUCAGACAAACAUAUAAUUCCGGCCACUUCAGAGGAGACCCUCCUGGUUCUUUGUCUGUUUGGCGUCUUGAAAGCUGAUCGGCGGAGUCAUCUCUUUUGAAGGGACCCCGUUAUAGAGAUGAAAGGCGGAGGUGGAGGGGACAGGGUGGAGCGAGGCCACAGGGGCUUUGUGUUCAGUGAUUUUAUGAUGUGGCAUAGGGUGACACUUUCUGAAAAGGCGUACUUUACAAGCAGCUCCUUGGUUUAAACUUUGAGUGUUGAUAAUGUUGAAGAUUUGAGUCUGGGAGGAUGCCAGUGAACAAGUUAGACUUUACAAAACUUCCAAAACUCCAACUAAGACAUGUUUCUUGCAGGACUUGCAGGAUAUUUCAUCUUCAGCUUCUUGUCUCAGCCUUCUCUUCUUCUGCAACACUAUGCUGGGAACCGUGAAGCUUAUUGGCGUCCCAUACAUGCAGACACUGCCGUCAUGGCUCCAAACGUAGCUUUCGCAGUCAGUUUGGCGAGCAAUCAGGAAUUUAUCUCAAUAAGUUUAUAUUAUUUUUUAUUAUUGCAUAGCAGUAAAUGAGGGUCCAACAUAUUUUGGAGCUUGUGAAACUCGGGUAACAAAAGUCUCAGCCUUUUAUCUCUGAUAUUAAAAAGCUCGAGCAGCAGACUAAUAAAUAAGUUAUUACUGCUUUAUGAGACAGUCACACUUAUAUGUUGGCAAGCUUUGAUAAAAUAUCUGAUUACACUCGUUUUAUUGUUUUUGGCGGCGUCAACAGACUGUCAAAACACAGAACAGUGUUAAAGCUCCUGUGGGGGACUCUAAGGUGGAGUCGAUUUUGGCCCCCUGGUGGACAAAGCCAUCAUUGCAUCCUUCUUUUAUAUUUAUAUUUCAUGUUUCCCAUGUAUCCUGCUGUCUUUUAACAGUGAAAUGUAGCACUCCUCGUGAAUCUCUGCCAUGAAAUGUGAAAAAGCUCCCUCAGCAGCAUUCUGUUAUCGCUCAGUCUGACGGCCAAAUUCCACCUGAUCCGUGUCUGGUCCAUCUCUGAUCCGUCACAGCACCGGAUCUGAUAGGUUUCUAUUCUACUCAAUGUGUUAUCUUCCACUGGAUCCACUCCGUUGCGUUCCAGCUGCGUCUCUGAUCUGCAGGACGCAUCAAUCUCAACAGAGCAGAUGGAGCGGGACAACAUCCGGUUAAUUUUCAGAAUAAAACACUCUGUGUUAUCACCAGAUCGUAUUUCACUUAACUACAACAACAAACCAAAGUCAUGAUGAGCGGAGCCAGGCCUGGAGUCAACAGGUCAGAGGUUUUCAGAGGACCAGAAAGACAACAUGGAUGAGGAGAAUCCUUGAUUCAGUGGUUACUGUGGGAAAACCUCGGUCACAUGACUCCAGCUGUCCGGCGGUCCCGCUCUGUGCUACGUUCUGAAAAUGCAACCGCUAGGUGUUCGGAUCGGAGACAGACCAGACAUGGAUCUGGUGGAAGUCCCAUGUGACUCCUACCUCCUGCCAGCUGAUUCAGACUUUAAAAACACCAACAUAGAAACAUUCAUUGUUCUUAUUUAUGGUCUUGUCUGCUUGUUGGGGGUCAUAAAGAGACGCUGAUAUUAAGUUCAGUCUGUUUCACAACCAGCUAAAAACUCCCUACAGGAGCUUUAACCUUCAAUAAUCAUCCUCCUAACAUCAUCUGUAGAGCAGGUACCAGUUUAAGGAGCUAAUAUUGAGCCAUAAGAUUAGUAAGAAAGAAAGGGAUCGUCUGCUGGAAGUGAUGAUCCUGUGAAGAGGUUUAAAAGCUAUCAGGUUAAUAUGCAAAAAUACGCUCGGCUUAUUAUCGCAUCUGGCUCAACUGUACAGCUCCUCUCUCGUGCAUCAUCUUUGAGGCAGUGUCCUCUCUCUCAUUCUUCAAUUCCCACAAGACACCACUCGUCCCCAUUUGGCAAAAUCCUCCAGGGAAGCUUCUUCUUAGCCAGGCCUUCGAUUCCAAGCAGUCCCAAACCUUGCAGAGUGACUUCACUGCGAAGCCCGGACUGUCACCGGUAGAUUUCAGGGGUCUUCCACCCCUUCUGCUUGCUCUCUACGAGGAGAGUGUGAUCUUUUGGCUGCUCAAUAUCAGGUCUGAGAUUAGUUGAUACCGUCACAGUCACUUGCUAUGGCGAGGAUGAGCCCUCUGCUCCUCAUCUCUGCUCCUUCUCUGAGGAAGAGGAUGAACUGAGGACUAUUUAACUGCUGCCUCUGCUUCUACCUUGCCUGCUCCACACCAGCAGAUAACUGAGCCAAGAUCUGGUUAUGAAGACCUCCCAUAUUAUCCUCCUGAUGAACCAAAGAGCUUGUUUUGAAGUCAGAGAAAGUUAGUUGGACGUGUUGAUAGAUUGUAUGCGACCCAAACAAACAUAGGAGUUGAUUUUGAAGGCUUUGUAAAGUACGUCUUAUUAGAAAGCGGCGCCAAGGAGCGAGGAUGUAUUUUUAGGAAGGCUUUAUUUUGAGGCCGCACCGCGCACCAGCCCCACAGGAUGUUGUCGUGCGGUUGAUCACUUGUAAUCAUCAGCUCAGGGUCUCGGGUAAUCCUGAUGAUGAGAGAGGUGACAGGGAGACAAAACAGCGACUCACAGGGAGGCAAGAAAAACCUAAGAGGAUGGACAGAAGCCGGUCAUUUUACUGCACACACAAGCCAUAACAGAAACCUAGAACUCUCUGGAGGUGUGGGGGGGUGGAUCAGGAUCAGGAUCAGGAUCAGGAUCAGGAUCAGGAUCAGAGCAAGGCAGGAAAAGAGGGCGAGCCCCAGGAAGCCCAGGAAGCCCAGGAAGCGAAACCUUUAGCCUCUGUGCUUACGUUGCAUGUCAAACAAACAACAAUGACCUAAAACAUUUUUUUGGUGGUGAAGAUGAUAUAAGGUGUCUUUAAAAAAUAUAUAUCUGUAUGAUAAACCUACAGGGGGUCGGGAGCCUGGGGAUCAAUUUGUAAAAUGUGUGUAUUUUUUUCAGUUGUAUUUUUUAUUUUUUACGAUAUCUAUUUAUUUUUCUUUAGGUAUGUAUUGGAUAAACGUAUGAACAUGUUUCGUUCCUUCUUGACUUCAUUUGAAAAUAGUUUUCAAAAGUAAAAAAAUAUGAAACAUUGAAAAUGGUCAUUCAAAUAUGCUACUGUAUGUGUACAUUUUGAGAACAAACUGUGCAAUGAUUUAUCAGAUUUACAUGAUUAAAGUGAUAGUACUACAAAUUGAAAAUAUCAUCUGGAAAAUAAACAAUAUUGAUGAUGAUGAUGAUGAUGAUGAUGAUUAAAAUGGUGAUGUAAAAGAAAAAAAAUAAAGCGACCCCGGUGGAUCAGCUGAUCAUCGCAA